UACAGAGGUCCCGAGCGUUGUUCGGAUUCACUGGGCGUAAAGGGUGCGUAGGUGGCAUGGUAAGUUUGAUGUGAAAUCCCCGGGCUCAACCUGGGAAUGGCAUUUGGGACUGCAAGGCUGGAGUUUGGCAGAGGAGACUGGAAUUCCCGGUGUAGCAGUGAAAUGCGUAGAUAUCGGGAGGAAUACCGAUGGCGAAGGCAGGUCCCUGGGCUAUAACUGACGCUCAUGCACGAAAGCGUGGGGAGCAAACAGG
This 253-nucleotide ribosomal RNA is filed under the name uncultured bacterium. RNAcentral describes it as "partial 16S ribosomal RNA". It matches the Rfam family "Bacterial small subunit ribosomal RNA", at positions 524 to 776 of the family's 1533-position model. The record is from RNAcentral.